UGGGGAAUCUUCCGCAAUGGACGAAAGUCUGACGGAGCAACGCCGCGUGAGUGAAGAAGGUUUUCGGAUCGUAAAACUCUGUCUUUUGGGGCGAACGUGAGUAUGGUGAACAAUCAUAGUCAGUGACGGUACCAAAGGAGGAAGCCACGGCUAACUACGUGCCAGCAGCCGCGGUAAUACGUAGGUGGCAAGCGUUGUCCGGAAUUAUUGGGCGUAAAGAGCGCGUAGGCGGGAUAGUCAGUCUGUUGUAAAGUGCGGGGCUCAACCCCGUGAUCGCAAUGGAAACAGCUAUUCUUGAGUGCAGGAGAGGAAAGUGGAAUUCCCAGUGUAGCGGUGAAAUGCGUAGAUAUUGGGAGGAACACCAGUGGCGAAGGCGACUUUCUGGACUGUGUCUGACGCUGAGGCGCGAAAGCCAGGGGAGCGAACGGGAUUAGAUACCCCGGUAGUCCUGGCCGUAAACGAUGGGUACUAGGUGUGGGAGGUAUCGACCCCUUCCGUGCCGGAGUUAACGCAAUAAGUACCCCGCCUGGGGAGUACGGUCGCAAGACUGAAACUU
This 556-nucleotide ribosomal RNA is filed under the name uncultured bacterium. RNAcentral's name for it is "partial 16S ribosomal RNA". It matches the Rfam family "Bacterial small subunit ribosomal RNA", at positions 355 to 902 of the family's 1533-position model. The record is from RNAcentral.